Molecule: ribosomal RNA, 215 nt
Filed under: Glomeromycotina sp.
Lineage: Eukaryota; Fungi; Glomeromycota
Description: partial small subunit ribosomal RNA
Rfam family: Eukaryotic small subunit ribosomal RNA (bases 40-215)
Source: RNAcentral
GGGUCAGUAGGUUGGUCGUGCCACCGGUACGUACUGGUCUCACUGAUUCCUCCUUCCUGAAGAACCGCAAUGCCAUUAAUUUGGUGUUGCGGGGAAACAGGACUGUUACUUUGAAAAAUUAGAGUGUUUAAAGCAAGCUAACACUUGAAUACAUUAGCAUGGAAUAAUGAAAUAGGACGAUCGAUCCUAUUUUGUUGGUUUCUAGGAUUGACGUA